UAGGGAAUCUUCGGCAAUGGACGGAAGUCUGACCGAGCAACGCCGCGUGAGUGAAGAAGGUUUUCGGAUCGUAAAGCUCUGUUGUAAGAGAAGAACGAGUGUGAGAGUGGAAAGUUCACACUGUGACGGUAUCUUACCAGAAAGGGACGGCUAACUACGUGCCAGCAGCCGCGGUAAUACGUAGGUCCCGAGCGUUGUCCGGAUUUAUUGGGCGUAAAGCGAGCGCAGGCGGUUAGAUAAGUCUGAAGUUAAAGGCUGUGGCUUAACCAUAGUAGGCUUUGGAAACUGUUUAACUUGAGUGCAAGAGGGGAGAGUGGAAUUCCAUGUGUAGCGGUGAAAUGCGUAGAUAUAUGGAGGAGCACCGGUGGCGAAAGCGGCUCUCUGGCUUGUAACUGACGCUGAGGCUCGAAAGCGUGGGGAGCAAACAGGAUUAGAUACCCUGGUAGUCCACGCCGUAAACGAUGAGUGCUAGGUGUUAGACCCUUUCCGGGGUUUAGUGCCGUAGCUAACGCAUUAAGCACUCCGCCUGGGGAGUAUGACCGCAAGGUUG
Molecule: ribosomal RNA, 550 nt
Filed under: uncultured bacterium
Lineage: Bacteria
Description: bacterial SSU rRNA
Rfam family: Bacterial small subunit ribosomal RNA
Source: RNAcentral